GAAGAAUGUAGGGAGACCUCCAGUGGACCGCACUCCUUCUAGCGAGCCGCGGAAACCAUAGAGAUCAGGGCUCAGCCGGAGGGCCGGCCCACUGCUGUCACGUGGCCUCCAUCCGUGCGCUUUAUUGGCUGGUGCUGGCUUUACGGGGUUGAAUUUUGGACGCUGCCUGCCAUUCGUGGGACCGAGUUUCAGGCAGCUGGAAUAAAGAGAGACAUCGGGGGAAAGCCGCGAGAAGGCCAGCGUCCCUGGCUGGGAGCAGAGCUAGCCGAGUAGGGCGCCCGGCUGUCAAACUGGCCGGCGCAGUGCACGCUGGGCCGCCCCGGAGCGGUCGCAGAGCCCGUCGGGAGUCGUAGUCCGGGACGGGCCCGCGGCAUUGUCCGCGACGCAGCUCGGGAUCCGGGUCGGGGUGUCGGCCGGGUUGCUGCCGGGCACCGUCGAGCGUUAGCCACCCAGCAUUGAGCUGCCAGCGGCUGUUCUCCCUAAGCACCCUCGCUCACGUCGCCUCGCCUCGCCUCGCCUGACCGGCCGCAGCCUUGGAUACCAGCCUUAAAUCGAGCCGACUACGGCCCAGCCCCGCCCGCGGCGAGGUGCGCGGGGUUCGGUGCCAGCCGCUCGCCCCUGGCGGGGCCAGCCUCUUGAUGCACCGGGGACGGGCGCCCCCAUCCGACCCCCAGCUAGAGUUGGCUUCAGCGGAAUACCUACUGUGCGGGAUUAUUCAACAAGCCGAUUGAUCACAUUCUUCAGCUCUAGCAGUGCAAAGGCUUCACUGAAAAAGAACAUUACAAAUUUUUUUUGAAAGAAAUUUGGGGGAAUCCACUGAAGACCUACAUUUCCCGGAAGGUUAACAGCCCCCUUCUCAGUUUUCCUGCUGCUCCUAUCAGUGACAAAUCAGCGUAUUAGAACAUGCAUGCUGGCUGAUCAUUCUGAUCAAGUCAACAAGCUUCACAACUUACUCAAUGAGGUCGUCCGUGAGAACUUCACUGUUUUACGGGGACAGGAGCUACUUCUUUGCUGAACUGCAUCACGGUUUCAACUGCUGAGGUUUUCUUCAAGCUUUUGCAUUGUUUGGAAUGUGAAGGGCAUGGCCGAGACACACUUUGAGGUUCCCACUGCAUUGUUACACCUCCCCCCUCACUUCAGGGCCAGGUAACACCAAGAAGGACGCCAUGAGAGCGAAGGCCGUUGGGUCACCGCCCUUUGCUCUCGCGCUGCGCGUCUCCCUGCCAUCAACCGCCGCAACUGGCGCUGGGAGCGGUUGAGGGCGGCCGGCCUCGCGCUGGAACCUCGCCCGCCUCAAGGCUCCUGCGGCGGCACACGGGGCAGGCCAGGACCCGCCCUAGGAGGGCCCCGCUGGAGAUGUGGAAAUGGAGGGACGCGGCACCUGGGCGCUUCCUGGGGCCAGACAACGCCCCCUCAUUGGAACCUCCAUGACCCUGCCUCUGAGAAACCAGCGCGUCCGCAACGAUCACUCCUAAUUUUCGGUAAUACAAACCUGCAGUCCAUGCACUUAGGUAACACCCUUGCUGAAAGGUUUACCUUUGGAGGGUUUAUCCUAAAGCAAAGUAUCCUCAAAUUGCAUGUCUUGCAUUCCCUUUGGAUGGCAUUGAUUUCAUUCCUGCUCAUGCCUUUCAAAAAAUAGUAUGCCCUGUUUUCCUACUCAGUCUGGAGGUUCCAUUAAAGAGUAUUUCUGGCAAAGAUUUUUAGACCUGAAAACACACUCCAAAAUAUAUUUUCUUCUGACUCCAUUCCCAGAGUUUUUCCUACCGCAUUCAAAUGAUUUCUAGAAAUGUUUUUGUUGUAGCCUUGAUCAAUUUCAGUCGAUAAAGCAGCAGAUAGUAAGGGAACAAUUCCACGCUCCCCACCCCUGACUCUGCAACACAGUGCAGAAUUCCAGUUGGCAAUAAAAAACUAGUAGAGAAGGAACUCACUGACUUCAGUUUGUAAUACCGUCAGAAGAAACUUUAAUCGUCACAUCCUUUCUGCUCAUUUGCAGGAUUCCUAUCAUCUGUCUCCACGUGAUAACACUGAAGAGCCUUCACAUUGAUGCAGGCCCAGGGCCUCAAGUGCAGAGACUGAGAGCUCUGCAGGACACAGCAUGGAGCCGCCAUUCCUCUACUGGGUGGAGGAGCAUGUGUCCUCUGAACAGGGGAU
This 2151-nucleotide long non-coding RNA is filed under the name Homo sapiens (human). Its description in RNAcentral is "HSALNT0165858". Lineage: Eukaryota; Metazoa; Chordata; Mammalia; Primates; Hominidae. The record is from RNAcentral.